Long non-coding RNA from Haemorhous mexicanus (house finch), 8732 nucleotides. RefSeq lists it as uncharacterized. Lineage: Eukaryota; Metazoa; Chordata; Aves; Passeriformes; Fringillidae. The transcript is spliced from 2 exons. The record is from RefSeq and is a predicted model, not a curated record.
AGUCUUCUCGCUGCGAUUGCCGCUGAAGGACGCGAGUGCAGUGAUCCGUUGUCCAGCUGGGAUUCGGGACGGCAUCUGAAGGUGAGAAGGAAGGAGCUGGGUACGGUGCGAGCGCUACGUGGCAAAGCAGAGCAAUCUCCACCCCAGAGCACCGGCGCCCACCUUAAGGGAUGCCGACAGCGGGCUUGGAGCUGGAUGGGGAGGAGAUGAGUUCUGCUCCUGAUCCGCCCUUUUGUCGCUAUCAGGAGAGGUGGGACAGAAACCCCCAAAGUAACCUAUAUGGGUCUAAAAGGAAGGCGGGGGCUAGAGCGGAAUGCUGCCGGCAGUAGUGGGAGCCCGGGGAUGGGGAGCAGCGGCGCCUCCCGGGGAGACGCUGGCACGGCCCCUGGGCGACGUCGUCUGAAGGUCAGGAAGGACGCCGGGGCUGCACCUGGCACCGCGCGGAAAGGCAUGCAGAUCCAGCAGGCAUGACAGGCGAGUCAGUCCCGCCCGGGGCAGCGAUGCCGAUCGUCGGGGCUCCGCAAUCUGCUAAGCUUUCAGAUGCCAGCUGCAGAUGCGGGAGUGCAUGUUUCUUUCUACACGGAGAGCAGUGUCUACCACCUGGGUCUUCCUCAGUGCCCCAUGCCUGUCAGUUUUUCAAAGGCAUUUGGAUAAUGCACUUUAUAACAUGUUUUAAUUUAUUAUCAUCCUGAAGUGAUCAGACAAUUGGACUAGAUUGUCUUUUUAGGUCCCUUCCCCUAAACUGUUUGGUUCUGUUCUGUAGCCUCCCAGAAAACCACUUUUGCAGCUGACACUAAUGUUAGUCUAAGAACUAACCUGGGUAAGCCUGUGCUACACUUUUUCUAACAAAUUUCAGAGAGGAAAAAACAAUACCAAAACAAGGUAGAAAACCCUCUUGCUUUAUACCUUAACUCACCCCCUGAAAUAACCAUUCAAAAGGCAUAAAGCAGUAUUUUUUAUGCUUUUUCAUACAUAACAUAGGAGUGUGUCAGCAUAGAUUACUGUUCUCAAGAAAUGAACCUGGGAGCCUGCUGGAGCUGUGUGCUGGGUUUCUGUGCUAUCAGCACAGUGUUUCCAGAUUUGUGGUGCCUCCCCAAGUGUCUAUAUGACUUUGAGCAGGGUUUAUAGUCUGGGUCUGUCAUAUCACACCCCACAUUCCUUUUUCAUCCUAUGAUUGCUCUUAGAGAGAAGGACAGUGUCCCCACCCCAGACUACCAAACCUCUGUACGCAUACCUUGCUCUUGUGUCCCAGGGUCUGGGAAGAAACAAUUCAAAUACUCUGAUACAGAAGGAUCAGAAAAGUGUGAGCUAAUAGUUAGAACACCCAGUUGCCUAAAAUCAGCUUUCUCCUUCCUAUUUUGGGAAUCCUAGACCAUGCUACAUCAAGGAACUCCUGCAGCAGCCGAGGGCCAGCAUAGCCAAGGGGGGUUUUUGAGAAAUGUCAUUGUUCCUGUUUAUAGGUCCCUUACAAGCUUUGCAAUAGCGAAUGUCCUCCCUUCUGUGCAGAGAAGAGUGAUGUCAUCCACAGGGAUUUCAGAAGCCAGACAAAACAAUAGGGACAUCCAGAAGUCCCUGAGAGAUCCUUGAGCUUCUUGUUGCGCUGUUUAGAGCUGCUCUUCUGUUUCCAGAGCCAGCUGACUCUCCAAGGGUCAUGUACCUGUGGUUCUGUUUCCAAACUGCACCCACCUUUUCCAGAUUACACAGCUGACACAGAAAAUCAUGAUACAUGAGAGGGUGAAACAUAGCUCUUAACACUGACUACCUCACAGUUCCCUUCUCUUCAGGAGACCAAGACACAUCAUCAUGAAAUCACAAACUCCACUGAGAUGCUCUGAAUCCUAACUUUUGCAUCUCUACCCUUCCUCAAACAAGGUAGAGCAGCAGAUUCCAUGUAACUCCCACAGGAUGUACCUUCCAGAAGAAAAUCCAAUCACUUCUGAGCCUGAUUUGGGUACCUCCUGUCCAGGUGAUACCCUGACUUUUUGGUCAGGAAAGUUCCCACCAGUACACUCCUCACCACAUGAGGAUCAGGCACAGAGGCAGGAAAGGACACAGUCAAAAGAGAUGAUGUAGUCUAUAGAUCUGUGUCUAUUCCUGGUCUCGGAAAGGCUUCUUGAGAAGGCUUUUACCUUGGAGGCAGAGCCUUUACUCAAUUUUCCAUGAAACCCAGCUGGAAAGAUAGACUCAUGGGGAUCUGCUGGGUGAUUUACCUGCCAUACAUGAUGUCUGCUACAAGAGAAAUAACUGCUCCUGCAGCCAUGGUAAUGAUAUGAGCAAUGCCACAUGCAUUUUCUUUCUGAUGGCAUACAACAAUAUCCUAGCUUCAUAAAAAUUUAUGAGUAUGAAUCUAGCAGUAAUGCAAUUUUAUAACAUUUACUGGACAGUAACAAAUCUCAGAAACAGUAGUGUUUUCUCAAUAGAGUGAAAGAUAGAGACUGGUAUCUGUGAAUGGGAUCUAUCACAGCACCAUGGACAGAGGAGAACAGCCAAACGUGCCCUGACAUCUCCAAAAUUUCCCCAAAUACCAAAGCCAGUUCGUGGUCUGGUUUGCAGUUGACGUAUGCCUGCUCCUGAUUGUGGGAAUAGGCUUGUUCUUCCUUGCAGAACCAGAACAGUAGGAAUCCACAUUAUGACCUUGCUUGGUGCAGAUGAAGAGUACAGAAAACUGAGCAAAGAUCUCCUCCUUGGAGUUUUGUACAUGGAACUCAGAUUCCUUCCUUGGCCACCAGCAGGGAAUCUGUGUGAGAAGUGGAAUAAGCCAAUAAUUUGGUUUAGUGACAUUUUCUAUAGAAAAAUGUAUAUUUGGAUCUCCAAAAAGACGGAAAGGUCUGUUUUCAGAAGAAAAAAAUAAAUUAGUCAGGAUGUUUCAUUUCAACAUCUUAAAAUGCAAUGUUUGAUUAUGCAUUUCCAUAUGGUGUUUGACUACUAAACCGAAACCAAUGCCAUGUGAAAAUGAUACUAAUAAGAAAGCUCAAAACAAAGUGUAAAGGUUAUAGAAAAUACUUAAACAGCUGCCCAAAAUGAUCAUACUUUGUUUCUUUUUCUUUUUCCCCCUCCCCUUUUCUUUCAUGAGCUCUCACUAUUGGAACUGCUGCACUGUUCAGUAGACUGCUGGCAAGACCUGCAGAGGAGCAGGUUAGCUUUUUUAGCUUUUUAUCACCAUUAUUAGCUUUUUAUCAACACAGCUACUGAGACAGAGGAGUCAGGUACUUUCUAAUGGUAGUUUGUAUACAUCAGCUGCAAAUCCUUCACUGGUUUAGUUCACUGAACACAAAUCUACUAUAUGUUUCAUUUUCUCUUCAACUGUCAAUUCUGACUGUCAAAACAUUUCAGAAUUCAAGCAUUUUUUGCCUUUUCAGAAGUAUUGCUUUGUUUCUUGUUGUUCCAUUCAACUUACAGGAGGCUUUAAGUAAGGUCUUUAUUUUCCAACCAAAAUAAAACCCCAACAUAAUAUUCUUUUUAAGUGUGUGUUUCCCUUAAGCCAAAACUAUAAAAGGGUUUUUCAACCAUUCCUGAUUGCUUUGAAGCUCUGGUCCCUUGAGAUUUCUUGAAGAUGAACUUUCUAGUUGAGCAUUUGCUUCAGCUAUCAAAAGACCAAAUUUUAGCUGCCCACCCUCAGAAAAACUGAAACAAACAUGUAUUGAUUGUUCUGUCUUAAUGACAUUUGAACACAAGAAUGCAAACUAUAUAUUUUUUCUUUUUUUUUUAUUUUUUUAUUUUGAUGAACAGCCUGUGAGAUGCCCCAGUCUAUUAUGAAUAAGCCACUUGGUAGGCUGCCAUUUACAGCCUCUUGUUCCAAAGCUGACAACUUCUUGUUUGUUGUCUACCAUUUCUACUCCCCUAGUUGCUGUAUCUCCAUUCCUUUCUUUGUUUCCUGUUCUCUGGACAAGUUCUUGCCUGACCAGACUGAUUGAGAGUCCCUUCUCAUCAGGACUCUGAUUCCUGUGGAUAGGCAUGAUCAUGUAAAUAUCCUGCAGCUCUUAUCUCCAGGAUUUACAGCUCUACAUUACAAGGCUUCCUUGGCAGAAGGAAGUUGUCCAUAAAGCCAAGAAUCCGUCUUUAUCACUGCAGUGAUUAAAUAAAGUUGCUUCUAUCCAAAGCAUAUCAAGUUUUUGUCAUGAGAUUAUUAUUUCAAGUACUUUGGCAGGAAUUUUUCCACCGGUGAACAAGUCAUCCAAACCAGAGCAUUCUGUGAUGUGUCAGCUUAUACAGGGGUUUAGAAGUAAAGAGGUAAAUAAAAAAAAUUACUGUUCUAUAUUUGAUGCUGUGGAAAAAUUCUGCUUUAAGGUAUCAAAGCGCUGCACGUUUUCCAUGACCAAAUCACUUUGCCUUGACUUUUUGCUUCAAGCAAUACAUGCGUGUCUGAAAAAUAAACAAAAUCAUAGCAGAGUAAAUUGGGUUUUUUUCAGAAUUCUUUUGUCAUGGAGAGGGAAAAAGAGGUCACACUUUCCCUCUUUGUUGCAAUUUAAAGUGCAAGAAAGAUUCACAAUGUCAAACACACUGUACAACAGAAUUUCUAUUUUCUCAGGUAAUUCUGUGCCUUGCCUUCUUUUAUUACUCUAUGUCUUGGAAAAGAAAAUGAUCAGAGGGAAGCAGCAUACUUGGCUGAAAUGAUAGCUUGGUGUCAGUUGCUAUGGCCUGUAGUUUUUUUCCUGUGUUAAAAGAGUAGUCUCAAGUUCUGACCUCGUCUUGGAAGGGAGGCCGUUUCCUCUGAGCCAUGACAACAAAUGUAAUUUUUUUACAUUUUAAACUUUUCAUUAAGCAUGAAGUGAAUGUGUGCUUGUGUUAGUUUAACACAGCCUGAUAUUUAGUGGGGGGUGGGGGAAGCCACGGAGGCAACUUUUGAGAAAAAAAAUCCAAAACAAUAAACAACUGCUCGAAGCUUCUACUAUAUCUAGCAGAGCCAGUCCCUGAAGGCUCUGAAAAUGGACAUGUUGCUAGCUGUUCUUUACAAUUAAAGAAGUUGGUAGUGCCUCUGUGGCAACAUAUUUAAGUAGGAAAAAGCCACCUCCACGCUCUGCUCCUCUUUCUUGCCAGGGUGGGGAGGCAGCCGAUGGGGGCCCAUGUGGCCAGACAGCAAGGGGCAUAAUGAGCAAUUCUCCAGUGCGGAGCCCAGAUGGGAUCAAGUUUUCGGCCCUGUGAAACCCUGUAAGAACUUUUCAAUUGAUAGAACUUGAGAAAAAACAAACCUACGAACACCAGUUCUCUCCCGAGAAGGAGAAAAGGGAAAGGUGAAAACGCAUGAGGAGAGCAACAGAGCGACACUAAGUAAGUGCAUGGAGGGAUGCAGCAAGCCAUUAGGCAAUUGAACGCCUUCCCUGGGCUGUCCGAGUAUCCUUCUGCAGCAGGACUUCUGAAGGUGGAAGAGCAACGAGUGCAGAUUGCCACCUUGACAGUGCACCGCUGGCAGUAUCAGACAAAUCAAGAUCCGUGAUCCCCAUCCACAAAAUGAUCCGUGAGCUGGAGAGCCAAGGGGUGGUCAGCAAGACCCACUCACCCUUUAACAUUCCCAUCUGGCCUGUGCGCAAGUCUGACAAAGAAUGGAGAUUGACUGUGGACUACCGUGCACUGAAUGAAGUGACUCUACCACUGAGCACUGCCGUGCCAGACAUGUUAGAGCUCCAGUACGAGCUAGAGUCCAAGGCAGCAAAGUGGUACGCCGCUAUUGACAUUGCCAAUGCAUUUUUCUCCAUUCCUCUGGCAGCAGAAUGCAGGCCUCAGUUUGCUUUCACCUGGAGGGGAGUGCACUAUACCUGGAACCAAAUGCCUGCAUUCUCCACCAAAAUUGUCGUGUUUUAACAUUGGUCAAAGCCAGGCACCCACCAAAAAAAAAAAAAACAACUAUUUACUCAUUCUCCUCUACUCAACUACAGCAGAGGAGAAUGAGUAAAUAGGUUUUUUUCUUGAGUGCCUGGCUUUGGCCAGUGUCAAAUUAGGCUGUUACGGUAUUAUGCUCUUUACACACAGAUGUUUCUGAAAAGACCACGGUAGUUAGAUAAAAUCAGAAAGCUUAGGAACCCUCAUAACUUCCUAUUUCAGUUUUGAACUUGAUCUCCACUGCCUCACUUUGAUAAGAAACCUAAACAUGUGAUGAAGUCAUUUUCUAGGUAGGUGUAUUUGCUGAAUGAGAUUAGCAGAAUACCAGUACCUGAAAAUAAAUCUAUGUAAUCCACAAAAAAAUAGACAUAUAUCACCUUAGAAUGUGUUUGUUGGGUUUUUUUUUUUACCUCAGUGGAACUGUAAAAAGUAACUUGUAAUGUCACAUAGAUUAAAGGAUCCAGCCAGUUUGUUCCCUGUCUUUACUGGCAUGACAUUUCUUCUAUUGAUCCAUUCAGUGUCAGUGAAUCAACAGCGCCACAGUGUUGUGGGAACAAGGUUGCAUGCAGGUAGCAGUGCUGGAGAUUCAAUCCCCUUGCGUUGCACAAGCAAUCACAAGGAAUACAAUGCAGUGAGGAAACACAUCUUUCAGGGCAUCCACAGCCUAAUCCAUCACAUUGUUCUUUCAUCAGCUUCUCUCCAUGGGGCUCCUCAGACAUACAAUACCAUACAUUUUUCUGCUUCAUCCUUGUAUUGCCAGUUGAUCAUAUGUGUCAUGGUUCCCAUAAUCUUUUUUCUUCUGGUAUUUUUAAGACUUCCUCUCUUCAGCAACUGCCACAGCUUUCUGACAUUACUGUAGCUUUGCAUUUCUUGCCUCUCUCUGACUGCAAGUACUCUUCUUUUGUGUGUAAAUCAAUACAAUGGAGAAAAAAUGUUGCAUCUUCUAUUGAUUUUUCUCGCACUGGCAUUUUUUUUAUACCUCAUCUAUUAGACCUGCAUUAUUAUCCCACUGUCUUCAGGGUCUAUGGCAACUAGUCAGACCCCAAGGACUUAGUCUAACCCUCUAAUACUUCUUAUAGCUAGAACUGAUUAAAAAAAUAGUUUAUUAUUUUCUUCUUUUGAUUUUCAUAUCCUCCCCAUGUACAGUUCAUGCAAUUGAAACCCUUAACAAAAAGCAGAAGAGUUAACUAAGCUGUAAAAUGUCAGUGGAACACAUCAGCUGUGACCAUAUUAAACAGUCACAAAAUGGGUGACUGACUACUGGCCAGUAGAAAUAAGUAGCCUUAAUAGUAACCUUAAUAAAGUUCUUACAACUGAAUAUGAUGAGUAUUAGACAAGUGUGGCCAAAACAAAGGUUUUGAUUUAAGCUAAAGCACUGGAGAGUUAAGCUUAAUAGACUGAAAUAACUGGACUUUGACACUUCCAUUAGUGAAUGUGUGCUGAAUCCAAAUUAGUUCUUCUAAGCCUGAACAUCUCAUAUGAUGAGUUCACCUGAAUAGAAAUUAUGUGAUUGUAAAGAUGAUCUGUCAAUUUAACUCUUACUCAGGGCCUUCCUGUAUAAUCAGUCUUUGCUAAAAUUAGUGACAAAGUAAAUGAGAAAAUUCACUGUGUUUAGAGAAUCUUUGGGAAAUGCAAAUCUAGAGAGGAAAAUGGUCUGUGUUGACAGUCAAAGCAUUUCAGGAUUCAAUAACUUGAUGUUUAAUCAGUAACAUAUGUGAAUCUCUGUGAAACACAAACAAUGUUCCAUACGUCCUCAUAUGCCUUUUAAUUUUGCAUUGCUUUUCACUAAUUAGCUACUUGCCAUUUCUCACCUUUCUCCUUUUGUAAUAUUUAGUCUUGAAAUGACAGCAUUUAUCAGCCUGUUGAGGCACACAAACAGAGCAGAUCUCUAUUCUUGCACAUAAACACGAAUGCCUCUGUCCCAGCUCCCUCUUGAUGUGCCAGUAACAGUGAGUAAGAAUGAAAUCAUUUGCCCACUUUGAGACUCUUUGGCAUGGGGGGCCAUGUUUGGGUGAGCUGAGCUGGGGAGGUCUGGUAGAUGUUGCUUCAGGUUUGGCCAUUUGUGUGUUCCAUGUCAGCUUAAGCAACCACACAGAAACUUUGUUUUUCUAUUCCAUUUGUGUUGUUUCUCAGGUUUCCAAGCUGCCUGGGAAUGGUGGCAAAUUCCCUGCAGGGCUUUCCUCUACAAAUCAUCAUUUCUUUUGCUCCCACUCCAUCUCUGUCACAAUUAUACUUUGGACUAAACCUUUCACUUCAGAGAGUUCCCUGCUCAGAUAUCACAGCAGAAUAGUGAAAAACACUCAAAAAAUGGGUUAGGGCUCUGUGGUUAAGCACAUAUUUAAGCAACCCGCCUGAAAAACAGAUAUAGACCCCAAAGGUAUAUGAGAGAAUCAAAGCUAAUUAAUGCAGAAAUAGGGCAUAAAUAACCCACCUGCACAUUCAUUUGGUACUGUCUAUCCAUUCCAUGACUUUCUAAUCCAUCAGCAAGUUUCAACCUCAAGUAACAUGGGAGUAAAAGUCUCCUAUUGUUAGUUUUGAUUAAUUUCAUGGAAAUUGUUGGCUUCUUAGAGGAGAAUUAAAUUUUAUUAAGUCUUCAAGAGAGACUAAUUGUAGUAAGAAUCUCUACUAGGAAAUAAAGAAUCUACUCAGGAGAGUUUUCAAGGAAUUGACAUUAGAUUAAAUUGGUGCAUGUUUGGGUUUCUUUCCCCUUCAAUUUGAGAUGGUGAGAGACUCAACUGAAUUAAUCUUCUCCAUAUUUUUCUUUUCCACUUGGAGCUACCUCUGUUAUAAAAUUACUUCAUAAACUAACUUUAAAUGAGUAUACACUUGUGGAUAUGAGAUUUGCCUUUUGCUCCAUGUCAUAUGAGACUUCACUAUUGCUAGAAAAUUAAAUAAAAACUAGAAAUUGAACUCUG